AGAGUUUGAUCAUGGCUCAGAUUGAACGCUGGCGGCAGGCCUAACACAUGCAAGUCGAACGGUAACAGGAAGCAGCUUGCUGCUUCGCUGACGAGUGGCGGACGGGUGAGUAAUGUCUGGGAAGCUGCCUGAUGGAGGGGGAUAACUACUGGAAACGGUAGCUAAUACCGCAUAAUGUCGCAAGACCAAAGAGGGGGACCUUCGGGCCUCUUGCCAUCGGAUGUGCCCAGAUGGGAUUAGCUUGUUGGUGGGGUAACGGCUCACCAAGGCGACGAUCCCUAGCUGGUCUGAGAGGAUGACCAGCCACACUGGGACUGAGACACGGUCCAGACUCCUACGGGAGGCAGCAGUGGGGAAUAUUGCACAAUGGGCGCAAGCCUGAUGCAGCCAUGCCGCGUGUAUGAAGAAGGCCUUCGGGUUGUAAAGUACUUUCAGCGGGGAGGAAGGGAGUAAAGUUAAUACCUUUGCUCAUUGACGUUACCCGCAGAAGAAGCACCGGCUAACUCCGUGCCAGCAGCCGCGGUAAUACGGAGGGUGCAAGCGUUAAUCGGAAUUACUGGGCGUAAAGCGCACGCAGGCGGUUUAUUAAGUCAGAUGUGAAAUCCCCGGGCUCAACCUGGGAACUGCAUCUGAUACUGGCAAGCUUGAGUCUCGUAGAGGGGGGUAGAAUUCCAGGUGUAGCGGUGAAAUGCGUAGAGAUCUGGAGGAAUACCGGUGGCGAAGGCGGCCCCCUGGACGAAGACUGACGCUCAGGUGCGAAAGCGUGGGGAGCAAACAGGAUUAGAUACCCUGGUAGUCCACGCCGUAAACGAUGUCGACUUGGAGGUUGUGCCCUUGAGGCGUGGCUUCCGGAGCUAACGCGUUAAGUCGACCGCCUGGGGAGUACGGCCGCAAGGUUAAAACUCAAAUGAAUUGACGGGGGCCCGCACAAGCGGUGGAGCAUGUGGUUUAAUUCGAUGCAACGCGAAGAACCUUACCUGGUCUUGACAUCCACGGAAGUUUUCAGAGAUGAGAAUGUGCCUUCGGGAACCGUGAGACAGGUGCUGCAUGGCUGUCGUCAGCUCGUGUUGUGAAAUGUUGGGUUAAGUCCCGCAACGAGCGCAACCCUUAUCCUUUGUUGCCAGCGGUCCGGCCGGGAACUCAAAGGAGACUGCCAGUGAUAAACUGGAGGAAGGUGGGGAUGACGUCAAGUCAUCAUGGCCCUUACGACCAGGGCUACACACGUGCUACAAUGGCGCAUACAAAGAGAAGCGACCUCGCGAGAGCAAGCGGACCUCAUAAAGUGCGUCGUAGUCCGGAUUGGAGUCUGCAACUCGACUCCAUGAAGUCGGAAUCGCUAGUAAUCGUGGAUCAGAAUGCCACGGUGAAUACGUUCCCGGGCCUUGUACACACCGCCCGUCACACCAUGGGAGUGGGUUGCAAAAGAAGUAGGUAGCUUAACCUUCGGGAGGGCGCUUACCACUUUGUGAUUCAUGACUGGGGUGAAGUCGUAACAAGGUA
RNAcentral lists this ribosomal RNA (1500 nucleotides) under metagenome. RNAcentral's name for it is "bacterial SSU rRNA". It matches the Rfam family "Bacterial small subunit ribosomal RNA". The record is from RNAcentral.